GUUUGAGCGAUUGUAGCACUCUGAAAACAGCAUAUAUAUGUAUGUCAACAGAUGCUAAUAUUUCGCGCAUAAAUCACAACCGAAUACUGUUUUUUAAUUUGUUUAUGAUUAUAUAUUUCAAGCCGCGCAGCUCCAAUUUUCCACGGAAAAUAUUUAACAAAUUAUUUUCCUAAGCACAAUCACGUCGGGGUUCACCAAUUGUUUAGUUACUGAGCGUUUUCGGUAAGCUAGAGUUGACGACCGAAUUAGAAUAAUGACGCGGGGAGAGCGGCUCAACGCUUGAUGCUGCGGAGCGACGAGAGAUCCCGCGAGAGAGCGAGACAAACCGCUACCGCGUGACGGCAGAUGCAGGUGGCCGAUCGAAUGCACGAGAGUGGGCGACGCAAAUAGAGACAUAGAUAAAGAGAAGAUAAAAAAAUUCUAUAAAUUAUUGCCGGCCAAAACUUUCCGACGGCUGCUUGACCCCACACUUAUUAUUAUAGAAAAUAGAUCAAAUGAAAACACCUAUCGUCUACCAUCACCAUCUUUUCAUUGUUGUUAUAUUUCCUUUAAUUAUAUCAAAAAGUGGAUACAAAAAUCUUUUCAAAGUUUCAAGAAGUGCAGCAUCAGCUAAUAAUAAAAAUUAAUCAAUAUUAGCUGGAUACAAUUUGAAAAUCUUAGCCAGCAAUGGGCAAUGCCAAUCGAAUAUGGUUCUAAAAUCAUUUAUUCACAAUUAUUCAAGGUCAAAUUUGUUAGGUAUUUUAGGUCCAGCAUGUAGUGAAACCGUUAGAACCCAUAUUGGCUUAGGAAAGCAUAUGAAUUUGAUAGUUAUGUCCUAUUCUGCUGAGAGUGUAAACUUGAUUAAUAGUAAAUCUUACCCAUACUUCUUUCCUACAAUAGGAUCAGCUUUGAUUUUUAUAGGUGCAUAUCUUGAUAUCAUGAAAAUCUUACAUUGGAGUAUAGUAUGAAUUUUAUAUGAAAAUUAAGGCGUUGAAUGUCUCACGAAUUUGAAGCGUAAUUUAAAGUAUAGGAAAAGCGCACGCCAAGGCAUGCAGGUUGUCACCUCGUGGGCUGCCGUCCAUAGUGAUUGAUACCAACUACAAGCCCACUGAUAUCAAUAAGAUUAUAAUUACAAAUUUACAUAUUCCAACUGCUGCGAGAACAAUUUGUGAGGCAUUUAAAUUAAAAAUGACUCAACAAAAUGAUUAUAUUUGGUUUCUUCCCAUGGACUUGCAAUAGACUUUUCUAGUUGGCAAUAUAUGUAAACGAUAGCUGUAGUGCGUAAGAAUUUAAUAAACCAAUAAUGGUAAUUUUAGUGCACACACAUUUAGCAACUACACGGCACGCAUGCAAGAAGGCCAUACUAUGAAAGAUUGGAAAGAAUCGUAUAAAAUUCAAAUUGGAUCGGAACCUUCCUAUUAUUCCGGGUUUCCAGAUGCUGUUUGAACAUACGCCCUUAGCCGCUCAUAAAUUACUAGUUGAAGACAAAAAUGUAUUUUUUUUAAAACAUUUUUUAAAAACAGAAAAUGUUACAAAUUGGAAAAUUUAUUUGGACAACUAGAUUUAUUGGCUUAUCUGUGAAUCUAUUAUUUUCCCGCGGAGAUCCGGGAGGAUCUCAGCUUAGAUUUUUUGCAGUGGCGAAAGCUAAUCGCCAAAUUGGAACAUGUAACCUCGGAAUUUGCAUUUUUUUAACGGAAUAAAUUAUUAUAAUUAUUAUAAUUCUAAAAACACAAACAUUCUUUUCAAUGAAUAGAUAGUUAAAUAUGUAUAAUUAAUUUUUUGUGCAUAUUUGCAUUUGGGAAACUUUGUAUCUAUUGAUGCUGCUGAGAUUUAUGAAUGAGGCAAUAUGAAUCUCAUUUUCCCUUAAGCAUAGCGUAAGAAAUUCUAUAUACAAAUAACCAUGGCAACGCUGAUCGACGCGUUGUCAUUUUCUUAUAUA
Molecule: long non-coding RNA, 1918 nt
Organism: Drosophila ananassae
Lineage: Eukaryota; Metazoa; Arthropoda; Insecta; Diptera; Drosophilidae
Exons: 4
Source: RefSeq, a predicted model, not a curated record